GUGGAAAUCGGGAGAGCUUGCUCUUUGCCGACGAGCGGCGGACGGGUGCGUAACACGUAGGAAUCUGCCUGGUAGUGGGGGAUAGCCCGGAGAAAUCCGGAUUAAUACCGCAUACGCCCUACGGGGGAAAGCAGGGGAUCUUCGGACCUUGCGCUAUCAGAUGAGCCUGCGUCGGAUUAGCUGGUUGGUGGGGUAAAGGCCUACCAAGGCGACGAUCCGUAGCUGGUCUGAGAGGAUGAUCAGCCACACUGGGACUGAGACACGGCCCAGACUCCUACGGGAGGCAGCAGUGGGGAAUAUUGCACAAUGGGCGAAAGCCUGAUGCAGCCAUGCCGCGUGUGUGAAGAAGGCCCUAGGGUUGUAAAGCACUUUCAGUGGGGAGGAAAGGUUGGAGGUUAAUACCCUUCAGCUGUGACGUUACCCACAGAAGAAGCACCGGCUAACUCCGUGCCAGCAGCCGCGGUAAUACGGAGGGUGCGAGCGUUAAUCGGAAUUACUGGGCGUAAAGCGUGCGUAGGCGGCUACCUAAGUUGGAUGUGAAAGCCCCGGGCUCAACCUGGGAACUGCAUCCAAAACUGGGUGGCUGGAGUACGGGAGAGGAGUGUGGAAUUUCCUGUGUAGCGGUGAAAUGCGUAGAUAUAGGAAGGAAC
Molecule: ribosomal RNA, 650 nt
Filed under: uncultured bacterium
Lineage: Bacteria
Description: bacterial SSU rRNA
Rfam family: Bacterial small subunit ribosomal RNA
Source: RNAcentral